This 478-nucleotide ribosomal RNA is filed under the name uncultured bacterium. Its description in RNAcentral is "bacterial SSU rRNA". It matches the Rfam family "Bacterial small subunit ribosomal RNA", at positions 335 to 798 of the family's 1533-position model. The record is from RNAcentral.
ACUCCUACGGGAGGCAGCAGUGGGGAAUAUUGCACAAUGGGCGCAAGCCUGAUGCAGCCAUGCCGCGUGUAUGAAGAAGGCCUUCGGGUUGUAAAGUACUUUCAGCAGUGAGGAAGGUGGGUAUGUUAAUAGCAUAUUCAUUUGACGUUAGCUGCAGAAGAAGCACCGGCUAACUCCGUGCCAGCAGCCGCGGUAAUACGGAGGGUGCGAGCGUUAAUCGGAAUUACUGGGCGUAAAGCGCAUGCAGGUGGUUUGUUAAGUCAGAUGUGAAAGCCCGGGGCUCGACCUCGGAAUUGCAUUUGAAACUGGCAAACUAGAGUACUGUAGAGGGGGGUAGAAUUUCGAGGUUGUAAGACGGUGAAAAUUGCGUAAGAGGAUCUGAAGGAAUACCGGUGGCGAAGCGGCCCCCUGGACAGAUACUGACACUCAGAUGCGAAAGCGUGGGGAGCAAACAGGAUUAGAUACCCUGGUAGCGUAG